This is a long non-coding RNA of Mastomys coucha (southern multimammate mouse), 713 nucleotides long. RefSeq lists it as uncharacterized. The transcript has 4 exons. The record is from RefSeq and is a predicted model, not a curated record. Lineage: Eukaryota; Metazoa; Chordata; Mammalia; Rodentia; Muridae.
GUUUGAAAAUCUAUUAGUAGAACCUUCAUCUACCUAUCAAAUACCAGUCUGCCUAUGUGUCACCAUGAUUUCUGCCAUGAUAGUGAAAGACUGAAGCUCUGAACCAGAAAAUCCUAGUGUCAUACUUUAUGGGGGAUAUUGCUGAGUGUCAACCAACAACUGACACAGUGGAAGCACUUUCUGCCUACUUCAUGCUACCGUGACCUUGUCUUUGAUAUAUUGUUUAUCACCUCUCUUCAGACUCUCCCAUGGAAGCAAUACCAGAUAAUUUUGCUACCUGCUGUGACAUCUGGAGAGACUUCCUCACACAAAGCAAGAUGUCUUAGUUGGUGGUCACCAUACACUUGGAUCCCAAAGAAGGAGGUUUUAAUGCCAAUGAAGGAAUGAGCUAGCCAUGAUGAGUCUGGGAUAUCAGGCAAAGAAUAAAAUCUUUCUUCUCUCAUGUUCUUUAUAUAGGUUGCCCGCAGGUGUGGUCCAUAUUUAAGGUGGAUCAUUCCCUGUAAAUAAUCUUAUCUAGAAUAAUCCCUUACAGGUAUGUCCAGAUUCUUAGCAUUUAGUUCAUUCUAGAUAUAGUCACAUUGCCUAUAUCCAUGAACACCAUUGCAGCAGUCUUUAAAAUAUUCCACAAGAUGACUGAUUUUUUUCUCCUCAUUAUCAUUUUUUUUGUAACUCUAAGCUUGCCCCAACUUAUAUAAAUUUUUAUCAUUUCCAAA